Molecule: ribosomal RNA, 433 nt
Filed under: uncultured bacterium
Lineage: Bacteria
Description: partial 16S ribosomal RNA
Rfam family: Bacterial small subunit ribosomal RNA
Source: RNAcentral
AACGAACGCUGGCGGCAUGCCUAACACAUGCAAGUCGAACGAGACCUUCGGGGCUAGUGGCGCACGGGUGCGUAACGCGUGGGAACCUGCCCUUAGGUUCGGAAUAACUCCCCGAAAGGGGUGCUAAUACCGGAUAAUGUCUUCGGACCAAAGAUUUAUCGCCUUUGGAUGGGCCCGCGUUGGAUUAGCUAGUUGGUAGGGUAAAAGCCUACCAAGGCGACGAUCCAUAGCUGGUCUGAGAGGAUGAUCAGCCACAUUGGGACUGAGACACGGCCCAGACUCCUACGGGAGGCAGCAGUGGGGAAUAUUGGGCAAUGGGCGAAAGCCUGAUCCAGCAAUGCCGCGUGAAUGAUGAAGGCCUUAGGGUUGUAAAGCUCUUUUACCGGGGAUGAUAAUGACAGUACCGGGAGAAUAAGCCCCGGCUAACUCCGUG